Molecule: ribosomal RNA, 484 nt
Filed under: uncultured bacterium
Lineage: Bacteria
Description: partial 16S ribosomal RNA
Rfam family: Bacterial small subunit ribosomal RNA
Source: RNAcentral
AUUGAACGCUAGCGGGAUGCUUUACACAUGCAAGUCGAACGGCAGCGCGGACUUCGGUCUGGCGGCGAGUGGCGAACGGGUGAGUAAUGUAUCGGAACGUGCCCAGUAGCGGGGGAUAACUACGCGAAAGCGUAGCUAAUAUCGCAUACGCCCUACGGGGGAAAGCAGGGGAUCGUAAGACCUUGCACUAUUGGAGCGGCCGAUAUCGGAUUAGCUAGUUGGUGAGGUAACGGCUCACCAAGGCGACGAUCCGUAGCUGGUUUGAGAGGACGACCAGCCACACUGGGACUGAGACACGGCCCAGACUCCUACGGGAGGCAGCAGUGGGGAAUUUUGGACAAUGGGGGCAACCCUGAUCCAGCCAUCCCGCGUGUGCGAUGAAGGCCUUCGGGUUGUAAAGCACUUUUGGCAGGAAAGAAACGUCGCGGGCUAAUACCCCGUGGAACUGACGGUACCUGCAGAAUAAGCACCGGCUAACUACGUG